UGUUUCGGCUAGGGGGCCAUCCCGGCUUACCAACCCGAUGCAAACUGCGAAUACCGGAGAAUGUUAUCACGGGAGACACACGGCGGGUGCUAACGUCCGUCGUGAAGAGGGAAACAACCCAGACCGCCAGCUAAGGUCCCAAAGUCAUGGUUAAGUGGGAAACGAUGUGGGAAGGCCCAGACAGCCAGGAUGUUGGCUUAGAAGCAGCCAUCAUUUAAAGAAAGCGUAAUAGCUCACUGGUCGAGUCGGCCUGCGCGGAAGAUGUAACGGGGCUAAACCAUGCACCGAAGCUGCGGCAGCGAACGUAUCACUUAAAGCGAUUCAGCGGGUUACGAUUGACGGAGCGAAGCGACGUCAAAGCGUAUACAAAGUCGAGUCGGUUUAAGGAUACGUUCGUUGGGUAGGGGAGCGUUCUGUAAGCCUGCGAAGGUGGCCUGUGAGGGUUGCUGGAGGUAUCAGAAGUGCGAAUGCUGACAUAAGUAACGAUAAAGCGGGUGAAAAGCCCGCUCGCCGGAAGACCAAGGGUUCCUGUCCAACGUUAAUCGGGGCAGGGUGAGUCGACCCCUAAGGCGAGGCCGAAAGGCGUAGUCGAUGGGAAACGGGUUAAUAUUCCCGUACUUGGUGUUACUGCGAAGGGGGGACGGAGAAGGCUAUGUUGGCCGGGCGACGGUUGUCCCGGUUUAAGCGUGUAGGUGUGUGUUCCAGGUAAAUCCGGUUCACUUUAACACUGAGGCGUGAUGACGAGGCACUACGGUGCUGAAGCAACAAAUGCCCUGCUUCCAGGAAAAGCCUCUAAGCAUCAGGUAACAUCAAAUCGUACCCCAAACCGACACAGGUGGUCAGGUAGAGAAUACCAAGGCGCUUGAGAGAACUCGGGUGAAGGAACUAGGCAAAAUGGUGCCGUAACUUCGGGAGAAGGCACGCUGACACGUAGGUGAAGUGAUUUACUCAUGGAGCUGAAGUCAGUCGAAGAUACCAGCUGGCUGCAACUGUUUAUUAAAAACACAGCACUGUGCAAACACGAAAGUGGACGUAUACGGUGUGACGCCUGCCCGGUGCCGGAAGGUUAAUUGAUGGGGUCAGCGCAAGCGAAGCUCCUGAUCGAAGCCCCGGUAAACGGCGGCCGUAACUAUAACGGUCCUAAGGUAGCGAAAUUCCUUGUCGGGUAAGUUCCGACCUGCACGAAUGGCGUAAUGAUGGCCAGGCUGUCUCCACCCGAGACUCAGUGAAAUUGAACUCGCUGUGAAGAUGCAGUGUACCCGCGGCAAGACGGAAAGACCCCGUGAACCUUUACUAUAGCUUGACACUGAACAUUGAGCCUUGAUGUGUAGGAUAGGUGGGAGGCUUUGAAGUGUGGACGCCAGUCUGCAUGGAGCCGACCUUGAAAUACCACCCUUUAAUGUUU
Molecule: ribosomal RNA, 1405 nt
Filed under: Salmonella enterica subsp. enterica serovar Durham
Lineage: Bacteria; Pseudomonadati; Pseudomonadota; Gammaproteobacteria; Enterobacterales; Enterobacteriaceae
Description: partial 23S ribosomal RNA
Rfam family: Bacterial large subunit ribosomal RNA
Source: RNAcentral